UUAUACAGCGAAACUGCGAAUGGCUCAUUAAAUCAGUUAUCGUCUAUUUGAUAGUACCUUACUACUUGGAUAACCGUGGUAAUUCUAGAGCUAAUACAUGCUGAAAACCCCGACUUCGGAAGGGAUGUAUUUAUUAGAUUAAAAACCAAUGCCCUCCGGGGCUCACUGGUGAUUCAUAAUAACUGCUCGAAUCGCACGGCCUUGCGCCGGCGAUGGUUCAUUCAAAUCUCUGCCCUAUCAACUUUCGACGGCUGGGUCUUGGCCAGCCAUGGUGACAACGGGUAACGGAGGGUUAGGGCUCGACCCCGGAGAAGGAGCCUGAGAAACGGCUACUACAUCCAAGGAAGGCAGCAGGCGCGCAAAUUACCCAAUCCCGACUCGGGGAGGUAGUGACAAUAAAUACUGAUACAGGGCUCUUUUGGGUCUUGUAAUUGGAAUGAGUACAAUUUAAUUCCCUUAACGAGGAACAAUUGGAGGGCAAGUCUGGUGCCAGCAGCCGCGGUAAUUCCAGCUCCAAUAGCGUAUAUUAAAGUUGUUGCAGUUAAAAAGCUCGUAGUUGAACCUUGGGCCUGGCUGGCCGGUCCGCCUCACCGCGUGCACUGGUCCGGCCGGGCCUUUCCCUCUGGGGAGCCGCAUGCCCUUCACUGGGCGUGUCGGGGAACCAGGACUUUUACUUUGAAAAAAUUAGAGUGUUCAAAGCAGGCUUAUGCUCGGAUACAUUAGCAUGGAAUAAUAGAAUAGGACGUGCGGUUCUAUUUUGUUGGUUUCUAGGACCGCCGUAAUGAUUAAUAGGGACAGUCGGGGGCAUCAGUAUUCAGUUGUCAGAGGUGAAA
Molecule: ribosomal RNA, 833 nt
Filed under: Leptographium clavigerum
Lineage: Eukaryota; Fungi; Ascomycota; Sordariomycetes; Ophiostomatales; Ophiostomataceae
Description: SSU rRNA
Rfam family: Eukaryotic small subunit ribosomal RNA
Source: RNAcentral